Molecule: long non-coding RNA, 925 nt
Organism: Phoenix dactylifera (date palm)
Lineage: Eukaryota; Viridiplantae; Streptophyta; Magnoliopsida; Arecales; Arecaceae
Source: RefSeq, a predicted model, not a curated record
CUCUACCAAGAAUCAUUUGGCGCUAUCGAGCUUCUUGGGGACAAUGGUUGGGAGCCGUAGCAUUACACCCCGUUCCAGUGCUCGUAGCGUUGAAAACAACCCCACCGAAUCCGAACCGUGGGAGGAAACGUAACCGGACCGCCGCAUCACGUGAUUUCUUUUUAUUCUCUCUGAAGAAUAGCCGAGCAGCAAGUCGGAGGCGGAUACCCACCCCCGCCGUCGCCUCCUGACGAAAGGUUAUUUUUCUUGAUGGGCUUAUCUCUCAGGCCGGAGGGAAAUCCAGGAAGGAGAAAAAGAGUGGUAGAAAAAAUCAGAUUCUUCAGAUAGCAGCAUCGAAAAUUCAAGCCUUAUGGAACCACCCAGCAGGCCUUAAAACCAUUCAUUUUUGGGCCCCAACUUUUAAAUGGGGUAUAAACUUUGCAAAUAUCGCCGUCUUCUCCAAGCCACCGGAAAAGAUUUUCCUACCCCCAGCAAAUUGAAAAACUGGAAUCUUUUCAGUGUAAACGUUGCAAUGGCUGGGACAGGCCUUUAUCAACUUUUUCAUAAAAUUCGGCAUGAUCAUGCUUCUGAGUUAAGGGUACCUGUGAAAGAAUGAACGAAAUCACAUCCUAGACUCUGCAAGCUGUGGAUUCGGCUUGGUGAUCAGGAGCAGUUCAAGAGUGGUUACUGAAGGUUGUCACUAUGGUUCAAAUUCAACAAUGUUACUGUAUCUUGAAUGGAUGAAAGGCGAGGGGGAAAAACCUGAAAUAAAGUUCUGUAAUUCUAUUGAGAGCAGUUGUAUGGUGUUCAUCAUUUGUAGCUGGCUGCUUUCAUUUGUAGUACUGAUGAUACUAUUACACUCAGUUCUAAUUUAGUUCCCCUGCCGUUUGAACGGGAAUAUCGAAUAUGGAUUUUGGUGGGAAAGCUCCAUAGUCCCUUCUAAUUC